Molecule: ribosomal RNA, 209 nt
Filed under: uncultured bacterium
Lineage: Bacteria
Description: partial 16S ribosomal RNA
Rfam family: Bacterial small subunit ribosomal RNA
Source: RNAcentral
UACGGAGGGUGCGAGCGUUGUCCGGAAUCACUGGGCGUAAAGGGCGCGUAGGUGGCGCAGGAAGUCAACGGUGAAAGUUCGGGGCUCAACCCUGAAUCGGCCGUCGAUACUCCUGGGCUCGAGCACUGUAGAGGCAGAUGGAAUUCCGGGUGUAGCGGUGGAAUGCGUAGAGAUCCGGAAGAACACCGGUGGCGAAGGCGGCUGCUGGG